RNAcentral lists this ribosomal RNA (380 nucleotides) under uncultured eukaryote. RNAcentral describes it as "partial 18S ribosomal RNA". It matches the Rfam family "Eukaryotic small subunit ribosomal RNA", at positions 592 to 976 of the family's 1831-position model. The record is from RNAcentral.
CAAUAGCGUAUAUUAAAGUUGUUGCGGUUAAAAAGCUCGUAGUUGGAUUUCUGCCGAGGACGACCGGUCCGCCCUCUGGGUGUGUAUCUGGUUUGGCCUGGGCAUCUUCUUGGAGAACGUAGCUGCACUUGACUGUGUGGUGCGGUGUCCAGGACUUUUACUUUGAGGAAAUUAGAGUGUUUCAAGCAGGCACACGCCUUGAAUACAUUAGCAUGGAAUAAUAAGAUAGGACCUCGGUUCUAUUUUGUUGGUUUCUAGAGCUGAGGUAAUGAUUAAUAGGGAUAGUUGGGGGCAUUCGUAUUUAACUGUCAGAGGUGAAAUUCUUGGAUUUGUUAAAGACGGACUACUGCGAAGGCAUUUGCCAAGGAUGUUUUCAUUGA